This is a long non-coding RNA of Vigna angularis (adzuki bean), 533 nucleotides long. RefSeq lists it as uncharacterized. The transcript is spliced from 2 exons. The record is from RefSeq and is a predicted model, not a curated record. Lineage: Eukaryota; Viridiplantae; Streptophyta; Magnoliopsida; Fabales; Fabaceae.
CUCUCUUCUAAUUGGUUACCAUAGUGGCUAUCUUGCUACCCUCUAUUCUGCUAUAUAGUGUUUAAGAGGACAAUUCCUCUGCACUGGUAUUUGGGAUUGACAACUACGAUCAACACCUAGUACUGUUGGUUCAUAUAUGGAUAUAAUGUCUUACACUUUUGUGGAUUGAUUGAUGUUAGGGACCAACCGAGAAAGAACAAAUUGAUGUUCAAGGGGAUAUAGCUUAUGACAUCGUGGAAUUCAUUACAGAUACAUGGCCUGAUGUUCCAGAAACAACAAUUUUCUUUAUAGAAGAUGGGAGAAAGGUUCCAGCUGCUUGAUUUUGAUAUCCUGGCAUUAAAACUUCGUACUGGUUGCUAGACUCUUCAAUAUUACUGUAAUCCCCCAAUGCCCCCUUUUUCUUACCAUAUCCCCCAAAAAAAGAACAUAGUUUGGUCUCGAUGGACAUCAGCAUGUGUACUUUUAGUUUAACGACAAUUUAAUUAGUGAUGUGUGUAAAGAGGCAAGAGGAAAAAAAGGUUCCUUUUCAUCAA